This is a long non-coding RNA of Megalobrama amblycephala (Wuchang bream), 2005 nucleotides long. RefSeq lists it as uncharacterized. Lineage: Eukaryota; Metazoa; Chordata; Actinopteri; Cypriniformes; Xenocyprididae. The transcript is spliced from 3 exons. The record is from RefSeq and is a predicted model, not a curated record.
CAUGGGAUCACGAAGAACGGGACCUUUAAGGCAAAUGCUGAGGUGUGAUUGACUCAGUGUGAUUGCGUCUCGGGUGGGGAUGCUUUUUUGCAAGUGCAAAUGUUAAUUUCCUUUGUUUUCUCAAAGAGUAGCCCUUUCUUGGUCCAGGCACUCCGGCAUCAGUCUUACAUAUCUAAAGUGACUUACAAAUGAAGAGAACAAUAGAAACAACUGAAUCAUCAAUAGGUCAACAAUAUGCAAGUGCAAGUACUAGUCCUAGUUAAUCUAACACCGUACACGUGACAAGGUUUUUUUUUUUUUUUUUUUUUUUUGUAAAGGACAAAUAGAAACGUAAUUGUUGAAUAUUGUAUAAGGCAAAUCUGCAAAAAAUCUGCAGUUCUAGCAAUGAAUUUGGGAUUAUGCUGGGCACCAACUCUGCCACAAAACCCAUGUAUACAUUGUUUUUUGAGCUUAAUUUAGUGUCUGCUGUGUGUACCAUUACCUACCAUAACCUAUUUACCUGAGAACAUCAAAUCACUGAUUUAUACAUUAACCUGUAAGAACACACACAUUAUUGUCCUCAUUUUUAGUUAAUUUUCACUUUCACUUAUUCUUUUCUUGAGGUUUAUUCAUAUCCCUAUAAAAUAAACAUCUCUUAGCAUGUAAAUAAAGAAGGUCAUAAUGAAGCACAUGAGGUCGUGUAAAGGCUUGUAACAAUCAAAUUGAUAACAAUAGCUUUAAAAGCAAGUCAGUGGGCAGAAAAUGAGUAUAGUAAUGGCUGUAGAGUAAGAGACAAUAAUUAACGUUGAAAAAAAUUAUGAUAAUUCUGUUGAAAUUGGAUGCAACUUUUGUUCUGGUAUUAAUUUAGGUUACAAUUGUAGACAAAAACACAACACAAGUAACUCAAUUAUUUGUUGGGUUAAUUAAUGAAAUGUAUAUUGUAUAUGUUUCCAUACAAUUAGUGGACUUAAAUUAUUUUACUUUAGAUUACUUUGAAUUUAUGUCUGAAAAAUACUAUAUGAAUAAAGGAAUAAAUAAAGGAAAAGAAACCAAGACAGAUGUUUUCACUCCAUCGCAGAUCUUCUUCUUCACCACCAGGAGGCGCUAGCAGCUAUGUGUCCCAUGUAUCAAGCACAACUGCUCUCCUGCAUCAUAAACAUUUAUCAGAAAUUCACACAUUUUCAUCCCUUUUAUCACAAUCUUAGUCACCUUCUGCACUUCAUCUCCCAGAAUCCUUCCUGGUCCACACAUUCUAAAAUUAUCACAGCUGUCUGUCCAACCCAGAAUCACGCCAAAGCACACUCCACUACUAGAGGAUGCGUGUCAGUGUCACGAUUUGCCUUCUAGGCCUGAAAAUGACCCGCAGGGGGCGAUAAUUUUCUUAAUGUCAACAACUUCCCAACAGAACAGUGCAUUUUCCAAAAAUCCCCGCGUCUGAUUCGGUCCGGUUGGAUAUUGUAAGCCAUAAGAUUUCUUCAGAUACUCCAACACCAGCCCAGUUCUACUGUGAGGUAAAACUUUAACUCUGGAGUUGUGAAUCUCACUCAGGGCAGGCGAGAACCGCGAGGGAACGGCACGAGGCCGGUGAUGCGAGUCUCUCACGGUCACACGGAGGAGCUCCGGAAGCAAAAAAAAGAGGAGCGACGACUUUAUUUUAUGUUUUGUUAAGUUUGUGUGGUUCCUCACGAACAACUGCCGGCAUUUUACUUUCGUUUUGUAUUUGUUUAUUUUGGUAUUAAAUGUUAAAUGUUCCCGCCUCCUUCUUCCCAUAUAGCCUACGAACUGUGUUACAAUUUUGUUUAUUCUCUACUAAACAUUUAAGAAAUAAGUGUACAACUUCUGUUAUCUUGGAGUAGGGGCAUUCCCUCUGUCUUGAGGGGAAGAGGGGUUAAUCAACACCAUUAUAGCCUACUCUGGGGAGCUACCGUGUUAUUAAGUUCCAGUCAGAGCCUCAAUCCUCAUACGUUUCUGGAUUACAAUCCUCAUAAAAUAAUACGUUUUUAUAAUAAACUUUUUAAAAUCAAAA